AGAACGAACGCUGGCGGCAGGCUUAACACAUGCAAGUCGAACGCGUGUAGCAAUACACGAGUGGCGCACGGGUGAGUAACGCGUGGAUAUCUGCCUUUUGGUUCGGAAUAACCCCGGGAAACUGGGGCUAAUACCGGAUGGUUCCUACGGGAUAAAGAUUUAUCGCCAAAAGAUGAGUCCGCGUCCGAUUAGCUAGUUGGUGGGGUAAUGGCCUACCAAGGCGACGAUCGGUAGCUGGUCUGAGAGGACGAUCAGCCACACUGGGACUGAGACACGGCCCAGACUCCUACGGGAGGCAGCAGUGGGGAAUAUUGGACAAUGGGGGCAACCCUGAUCCAGCCAUGCCGCGUGAGUGAUGAAGGCCUUCGGGUUGUAAAGCUCUUUUGGCGGGGACGAUGAUGACGGUACCCGCAGAAUAAGCCCGGCUAACUCGUGCCAGCAGCCGC
This 446-nucleotide ribosomal RNA is filed under the name uncultured bacterium. Its description in RNAcentral is "SSU rRNA". It matches the Rfam family "Bacterial small subunit ribosomal RNA", at positions 26 to 518 of the family's 1533-position model. The record is from RNAcentral.